RNAcentral lists this ribosomal RNA (354 nucleotides) under Triticum aestivum (bread wheat). RNAcentral's name for it is "partial small subunit ribosomal RNA". Lineage: Eukaryota; Viridiplantae; Streptophyta; Magnoliopsida; Poales; Poaceae. The record is from RNAcentral.
AUGAGUCACCUGUUUUGGAACUGCCGGGGGGCGUGGAACCGCCGGACAGUUCAUGAAGUUGGGGCUCUUGUAAAAGCCCAUUCCCCAAGCUUGGCCUUUCUUGCUGAAACGAGACAGCCAAGUGCAAAAGUUGAAAGAAUGAAGUGGAAACUAGGUCUGAAAGGAUUCUAUGGUGUGGAUUCUGAGGGUCGUGGGGGAGGAUUAGCAUUAUUUUGGGAUGAAUCCCUCUAUGUGACAGUUCUUGAUUCUUGUAAGAGAUACAUUGAUGUAACUGUUGUUGAUCAGGGAUCCGGGAAAACAUGGAGGUCUACCUUUGUCUAUGGGGAACCAUGUGUGGAACAUCGGCAACGCAUG